CCCAAUGGGUACUCCAAGGUACGGAAACUUGAUUUGCUGUGUUUAUGUAUCACCGGGACAAGAAAAAGCGCUUCUAUGUUCUGGGAAUGUUGCUCACCUGCCAUGAUCACUUCUCUAAUAGUAAUAGAGGACAUGGUUAAGAAUUUUAUGGAAGAACACAGGAGAAAGAUAACAAGAACAAAUCAGAGUUACCUGCUUUAUACCUCAUAUUUCUUUGGGCAGGUGAUCUGGGUAGAACAUGCAGAGGUGGAGGACAAACCAGUGCAUCAGAUAUUCCAGCAAUUUGUCAGCGCCGGUGAGGCAUUCGGAGCUACACGCUGGGUUUCAGUCCUACAAAGGCAAUGUGAGCGGC
This 352-nucleotide long non-coding RNA is filed under the name Musa acuminata (dwarf banana). RNAcentral's name for it is "long non-coding RNA (MACU_LNC002568)". Lineage: Eukaryota; Viridiplantae; Streptophyta; Magnoliopsida; Zingiberales; Musaceae. The record is from RNAcentral.